UAUUGGGUUUAAAGGGUCCGUAGGCGGAUCUGUAAGUCAGUGGUGAAAUCUCAUAGCUUAACUAUGAAACUGCCAUUGAUACUGCGGGUCUUGAGUGAGAUUGAGGUAGCUGGAAUAAGUAGUGUAGCGGUGAAAUGCAUAGAUAUUACUUAGAACACCAAUUGCGAAGGCAGGUUACCAAGUCUUAACUGACGCUGAUGGACGAAAGCGUGGGGAGCGAACAGGAUUAGAUACCCUGGUAGUCCACGCCGUAAACGAUGCUAACUCGUUUUUGGGCUUUUGGGUUCAGAGACUAAGCGAAAGUGAUAAGUUAGCCACCUGGGGAGUACGUUCGCAAGAAUGAAACUCAAAGGAAUUGACGGGGGCCCGCACAAGCGGUGGAGCAUGUGGUUUAAUUCGAUGAUACGCGAGGAACCUUACCAAGACUUAAAUGGGAAAUGCCAGGUUUAGAAAUAGACCCUUCUUCGGACAUUUUUCAAGGUGCUGCAUGGUUGUCGUCAGCUCGUGCCGUGAGGUGUUAGGUUAAGUCCUGCAACGAGCGCAACCCCUGUCACUAGUUGCUAACAUUCAGUUGAGGACUCUAGUGAGACUGCCUACGCAAGUAGAGAGGAAGGUGGGGAUGACGUCAAAUCAUCACGGCCCUUACGUCUUGGGCCACACACGUGCUACAAUGGCCAGUACAGAGGGCAGCUACCAGGUGACUGGAUGCGAAUCUCGAAAGCUGGUCUCAGUUCGGAUUGGAGUCUGCAACUCGACUCUAUGAAGCUGGAAUCGCUAGUAAUCGCGCAUCAGCCAUGGCGCGGUGAAUACGUUCCCGGGCCUUGUACACACCGCCCGUCAAGCCAUGGAAGUCUGGGGUACCUGAAGUCGGUGACCGUAACAGGAGCUGCCUAGGGUAAAACAGGUAACUAGGGCUAAGUCGUAACAAGGUAGCCGUACCGGAAGGUGCGGCUGGAACAUCUCAUUU
This 967-nucleotide ribosomal RNA is filed under the name Chryseobacterium sp. SC28. RNAcentral's name for it is "Bacterial small subunit ribosomal RNA". It matches the Rfam family "Bacterial small subunit ribosomal RNA", at positions 552 to 1533 of the family's 1533-position model. The record is from Rfam by way of RNAcentral. Lineage: Bacteria; Pseudomonadati; Bacteroidota; Flavobacteriia; Flavobacteriales; Weeksellaceae.